This 298-nucleotide long non-coding RNA is filed under the name Elaeis guineensis (African oil palm). RNAcentral's name for it is "long non-coding RNA (EGUI_LNC071969)". The record is from RNAcentral. Lineage: Eukaryota; Viridiplantae; Streptophyta; Magnoliopsida; Arecales; Arecaceae.
AGCUUAAGAGCCUUUUAUCAUGAGUUUUUGUUUGAGAGUUCGUGAGUUCUGCUUGACUCAUUAUUUGGCUUGGGCUUAAUCCAUGCCUUCGAUCACUUUAGAUCAGGCUCUCUCUUCCUUCUUUUUUUUUUGACUUUGGCACCAUCGGAGGAGUAUGUGGGUGUGCUGGAGGACCUGGGUAUGUGGAUGCCAAUCUUGGCAUAGUAGGAGGGGUCAACCAAAGGAUGGGUGCAUGUGGAGUGAAGGAUGGGUGCAUGCGGAGCGAAGGAGGGACGCAUGUGGAGGAGUAGCCGGCUAA